RNAcentral lists this ribosomal RNA (450 nucleotides) under uncultured bacterium. RNAcentral's name for it is "bacterial SSU rRNA". It matches the Rfam family "Bacterial small subunit ribosomal RNA", at positions 28 to 507 of the family's 1533-position model. The record is from RNAcentral.
GACAAACGCUGGCGGAAUGUAUUAGGCAUGCAAGUCGUACGAACCUUCGGGUUAGUGGCGAACGGGUGAGUAACACGUGGGUAACCUGCCUCGUAGUGGGGAAUAACUCGCCGAAAGGCGAGCUAAUACCGCAUAACACCCCCGGUGAGAAUCCGGGUGGUAAAAGCUCCGGCGCUACGAGAGGGGCCCGCGGCCGAUUAGCUAGUUGGUGGGGUAAUAGCCUGCCAAGGCGACGAUCGGUAGCUGGUCUGAGAGGAUGGUCAGCCACACGGGGACUGAGAUACGGCCCCGACUCCUACGGGAGGCAGCAGCUAAGAAUCUUGCGCAAUGGGCGAAAGCCUGACGCAGCAAUUCCGCGUGGGGGACGAAGGCCCCUCGGGUCGUAAACCCCCUUUUGUGAGGGAAGAAGUUCUGACGGUACCUCACGAAUAAGACACGGCUAACUACGUG